RNAcentral lists this ribosomal RNA (674 nucleotides) under uncultured bacterium. RNAcentral's name for it is "bacterial SSU rRNA". It matches the Rfam family "Bacterial small subunit ribosomal RNA", at positions 63 to 771 of the family's 1533-position model. The record is from RNAcentral.
CGCACGAGAAGUGGAGCAUCCAUGAGUACAGUGGCGUACGGGUGAGUAACACGUGGAUUAUCUACCUUCUAGUGGGGAAUACCUCCGGGAAACUGGAGACAAUACCGCAUAAGCUCGUAAGAGGAAAGCAGCAAUGCGCUGGAAGAGGAGUCCGCGGCUGAUUAGCUAGUUGGCGGGGUAACGGCCCACCAAGGCGAAGAUCGGUAGCCGGCCUGAGAGGGCACACGGCCACACUGGCACUGAAACACGGGCCAGACUCCUACGGGAGGCAGCAGUGGGGAAUCUUGCACAAUGGAGGAAACUCUGAUGCAGCGACGCCGCGUGAGCGAUGAAGCCCUUCGGGGUGUAAAGCUCUUUCGACGGGAACGAUAAUGACGGUACCCGAAGAAGAAGCUGCGGCUAACUACGUGCCAGCAGCCGCGGUAAUACGUAGGCAGCAAGCGUUGUUCGGAAUUACUGGGCGUAAAGAGUGUGUAGGCGGUGCUCCAAGUCUGGUGUGAAAUCUCCCGGCUUAACUGGGAGGGUGCAUUAGAAACUGGAAUGCUAGAGGAUGGGAGAGGUAAGCGGAAUUCCUGGUGUAGCGGUGAAAUGCGUAGAUAUCAGGAGGAACACCUGUGGUGUAGACAGCUUACUGGACCAUUUCUGACGCUGAGACACGAAAGCGUGGGUAGCAA